ACACGUAAGUUGCGAGCGUUGUUCGGAAUUAUUGGGCGUAAAGGGCAUGUAGGCGGUAAUGCAAGUCUGGUGUGAAAUGCCGGGGCUCAACCCCGGAACUGCGUUGGAAACUGCAUUACUUGAGUGACUGAGGGGCAGGCAGAAUUCCUGGUGUAGGGGUGAAAUCUGUAGAUAUCAGGAAGAAUACCGAUGGCGAAGGCAGCCUGCCAGCAGAUGACUGACGCUGAGGUGCGAAGGUGCGGGGAGCAAACAGGAUUAGAUACCCUGGUAGUCCGCACAGUCAACUAUGUACACUGGAUGUCUGGACAGAAGUCUGGGUGUCGAAGCAAACGCGAUAAGUGUACCGCCUGGGGAGUAUGCCCGCAAGGGUGAAACUCAAAGGAAUUGACGGGG
Molecule: ribosomal RNA, 393 nt
Filed under: uncultured bacterium
Lineage: Bacteria
Description: partial 16S ribosomal RNA
Rfam family: Bacterial small subunit ribosomal RNA
Source: RNAcentral